GAGGAGGUGGGGUAAGUGCCCACAGUGCCGAUAAUCGGUACGGGUUGUGAGAGCAAGAGCCGGGAGACGGUAUCUGAGACAAGAUACCGGGCCGUACGGGGCGCAGCAGGCGCGAAACCUUUACACUGCACGAAAGUGCGAUAAGGGGACUCCAAGUGCGAGGGCAUAUAGUCCUCGCUUUUCACCACCGUAAGGUGGUAGUAGAAUAAGUGCUGGGCAAGACCGGUGCCAGCCGCCGCGGUAAUACCGGCAGCACGAGUGAUGACCGCUCUUAUUGGCCUAAAGCGUCCGUAGCUACUUUCCC
Molecule: ribosomal RNA, 304 nt
Filed under: uncultured archaeon
Lineage: Archaea
Description: bacterial SSU rRNA
Rfam family: Archaeal small subunit ribosomal RNA
Source: RNAcentral